ACUUUGUAAUCUUAAUUUUUUUUAAUUUGCAUGGCAGCCAUUUUGAAAGUCGCCAUCUUGGUAUUUUUGUAUUUGUUGAUGCAGA
Molecule: long non-coding RNA, 85 nt
Organism: Maniola jurtina (meadow brown)
Lineage: Eukaryota; Metazoa; Arthropoda; Insecta; Lepidoptera; Nymphalidae
Exons: 3
Source: RefSeq, a predicted model, not a curated record